GAGGGUAUAGUUCAGUGGUAGAGCACGUGCUCAGCAUGCAUAAGGUGCUGGGUUCAAUUCCCAGUAAUUCCA
RNAcentral lists this transfer RNA (72 nucleotides) under Camelus bactrianus (Bactrian camel). It matches the Rfam family "tRNA". Rfam says of the family: Transfer RNA (tRNA) molecules are approximately 80 nucleotides in length. Their secondary structure includes four short double-helical elements and three loops (D, anti-codon, and T loops). RNAcentral also lists the same sequence under 2 other names. The record is from Rfam by way of RNAcentral. Lineage: Eukaryota; Metazoa; Chordata; Mammalia; Artiodactyla; Camelidae.